Triticum urartu is the source of this 890-nucleotide non-coding RNA. The record is from RefSeq and is a predicted model, not a curated record. NCBI's taxonomy places the organism in Eukaryota, Viridiplantae, Streptophyta, Magnoliopsida, Poales, Poaceae.
GAGUCCUUUUAUUUAGGACCAGGGAAAAACCUCUAAUUGUUAACUUUGUAUUUUCCCACUGACUAGCGCAUAUCUUGCCUAAGCGCAGGCUUAAGCAAUGCGUUUUGUUCUGCCCUAGCGCCUAGGUGCUUACACCCUUUCCCCCUACUGAUUUAAGAGGUGUGGAUAUUUUUUAAGGAUGUGUUGCUCGCUUUGUUGUUCAGAUCACAGAAGAAUUGUCAGGACCUCACCGGCAGAUCCCUCAGCUAUCAGGGAAAGCAGCCAUCAGCGGAGAUUGAGGGUGCCUCUCCGGCAAGAGUGCUCGUGUCGUGGUGGUUUCCCACCAGCAGCAUGGGGGAGACGGUGUCCUCUGCAGCUAGGUCUACUUGUUGGCGACCUCACCGUCACCAGCCCAUCUGCAGCCUACUUGAAUGGAUAUGCUUCCUGAGAGACCAUUUCUUAUGCAUCAGAUCCUGAAGGUGGAUGAUGCUUGUUUAGAUAUCUAUGAUUCCAAAUUAUUCAAAAUGGUUCAUGUUAUAUUGGAUGCUAUUUUAUUGAGAGUGGCUUCAAACAAUAUGGCAUGACCAUAUUUAUUUUCUCUUUGGCCAAUAAUGAAAUGAUCUGUGUGCAUAUAAAAUGGUUAUCGAUACCAUAAUUCUUGGUUUUAAUUAGCCUUUUGCGCUAACCGGUUUAAGCCAUUCUACUAUAUGUAAUACAAUCCACAUUGUAUCAUCUUUCCAUUUACGUCUCUUACUUAUUCACUACUAACAUUCCUUCUAAAUGGCUUCUUGCGCCAUUGGCGCAACCAGGUCAUCUAGUUGUUCUCAAGCACGAUAAAAAGGAACAUGUUCUAGAGGAUCCACUUCCAGAGGAACCUGCCGAUAAUUGAUACGUCUCCGUCGUAUCUAUAA